Molecule: long non-coding RNA, 551 nt
Filed under: Canis lupus familiaris (dog)
Lineage: Eukaryota; Metazoa; Chordata; Mammalia; Carnivora; Canidae
Description: lncRNA (ENSCAFG00000056561.1)
Source: RNAcentral
AAAACAGGAAUCAUUUUGAGGUGACGCCUCAGCAGCUCCCCACCAGGCUCUCUGAUAAAGGAAGCAUCUGCAGGGGCUGCAGAGCAGGGGGAUGUAGCCUGAAGUCAGUGAAUUGUUUGCUCGUUUGCUUCCUAGGGUCUAGGCUAGGCACAGAGGGGUUUUGGCUACCUCCUUUCUCAACUCAGGCACAGCCAUCUGCUCGACUCAACAAGCAGAAAAUCCACCCCCAGGAAACGUGAAUUUAUUUGUGGAUAUGUGAUGAAUCCCACAGCUUUGCUUCUUGUGGAGAUCCAGUAACCCGAACCAUGCCACAAGGCUGUCCUCUGGGUGGAUGUCACCCCUGCCCCACCAGCAGCAUAAAAACCUCAAGUUCCAGCCUUGAACAUAGGAAACCAGGGAGGAAGCCCAUCAGCGAGUGUCAUCUGUUAAUAGCCGGGGCUACCCGUUUGCACUGGAGGAAGGCAGAGUGAGUCGAGGAGCACGGAACAGCAAGGGACACCCCCAUCGGUAAUCCUGAUAUUCUGCUAAUGUGUAUUCCUAGUGGCCAUGGC